UACGGGGGGGGCAAGCGUUGUUCGGAAUUACUGGGCGUAAAGGGCUUGUAGGCGGCCCACUAAGUCAGACGUGAAAUCCCCAGGCUCAACCUGGGAACUGCGUCUGAUACUGGAUGGCUUGAAUCCGGGAGAGGGAUGCAGAAUUCCAGGUGUAGCGGUGAAAUGCGUAGAUAUCUGGAGGAAUACCGGUGGCGAAGGCGGCAUCCUGGACCGGCAUUGACGCUGAGGAGCGAAAGCCAGGGGAGCAAACGGG
RNAcentral lists this ribosomal RNA (253 nucleotides) under uncultured bacterium. RNAcentral describes it as "partial 16S ribosomal RNA". It matches the Rfam family "Bacterial small subunit ribosomal RNA", at positions 524 to 776 of the family's 1533-position model. The record is from RNAcentral.